GAGAUAGGGCGAAGGACGGAGGGUGCUCGUUCUUUUAUUUCCUCUUUCCCCCGCUUCCCCUUUUCGAUUGGCUGAGGCACUCACCGGGCGGAAUUUCCGAUUGGCCAGCGCACGCUGUUGCUAGGCAGGUGAAGAGGCGCGGGGUGGAGCUCCCUUUUCUGAUGAGUCGGCUCUGAGGUUCAGUCAGCGUGAAGCGUCUCGAUUUGCUGUCGUAACGAAUCUGCUCCAAGACCUUCUGCUCACUUUGAGGAGCCGUCGCCGCGCGUCUACCCUCACCCCUUUUCCCCUCAGCGCCAUGGCCUCGGGAUCUGAGGCUGAUGCAAAGCUUGAAAGUCUUCUGGAAACAAGCCUGCAGCACUGAAGUUUGCUUGUCCCCCUGUUCUAAGUGUCAGGGAAAGGAGACAGCACUGCACAGCAGUCUGGCUUGGAAAAACUUGUUUCUUGAAGGUGUGUGGGGUACCUCAGGUAAUGUCACACCACAGAUAAGUCAGACCUUUCUGCUGUACUUACAAAGAUGCAGUUGUGAGAAACACGUUCAAGAUCAAAAAUUUCUAAUCAGGCCAAGAUCUCUCUGAAGAGCAGUUGAUUCAUUAUUGCAAUAAUGGGCACACACCCCCUACUGACGAGGGAGAAAUUGUGUAACUAGUCAGUGAAAUCCACUCCAUUAUAUACCCUGGGUCCAACGCAGGUAAAGCCUCUCCUGGCCCUCGUUGGUUGAGCAUCUCAGGCUCACAGUCUUCCAACACUGUUACUACGUUACACUUCCAUACAAUGUCUGUUACCAACACAUUGUCUUUGGGUAUGUUCUGUACUUUUUUAUGGCGAUCGGAGGACAAUACUUUCAACAAUCUGCACACUAGUUCUGUCCCAUACCAGACUCUCUCCUACCCUAUAUAAUUACCUUACCUAGUGCCUGUGCCAAUUUGACUUCGGUUGGAAUGCCCCAGUCUCACUCUGUUCAGCAACUUUUGUGAAAGGCAACUUAUCCUAUGCUACAUACAGAAAUACUGGAAAUUUCUACUGCAAAAAACACCAUCUACCUCUCACAAUUCCCCCUUUUUCUUUUUACCCUUUUAUGUUUUUGCACCAGACUAUGAAACACUUCUAAUAUAAGAAAACUACCUUACUAACCUGACUUGAUGAUUGAUAGUAAUUUAUCAUCUUGCUAUUCUCCAUGCUCUAAUAUAUAUAUAUUGAUUAAGAAUAACAAUUUCUUCACCCUUGUAUGAUUCAUCCCAGUAUGAACAAGUAAUAAAUCUUAAAUCAGAGCAUAAUGAGCAUUACAGGUUCUAAGCUACUAAGGGAUGUGGGGAAGAUGGGGAAGUUAGCGAUAGUAAAGAAAGAAAUUCUAGCAAACGGUUUACAGAGCAGAGAUAGUCACCACCAGGGAAUCUGGCGAUGUCUUGUCGGUCUGUGAGGAGGCAGCAGGUUGAUCAGUCUCGUUGACUUCCAUGGCUGCAUUUUGGCAGAUAGGGUACCCAUUCUUCCUCAGAACUCUUCAGUCCCGACUACCCCAAUUAUCAGGGGCAUCAUGUCCUGUCCAUCACGGUGAUGGUAGCUGUCAGGGUACCCACAUUUCUGUUCAUCAGGAGGAACAGCACAUCUGUCCUCUUACCACUGUACUCCUGGUAGUCAACCAUUAACUUCAAAAACUUGUUGGGCAGGUCAUGCUUUGGAUGGGUGCCAUCAAACAGGCUUUUGAGCCAAGCAUUCUCCAGCUUCUCAUGUCUCAGAUGACUGCCUCUGAACAAGCUUUGAGCCAAGCAUUGUUGCUGCUUCUCACACCACCCGGCGGUGCAAACCUUGUUAUCACUGUCCUGUGGUGGUUUCAAGAAAAAAAAGCAUUAAGGGGAAUGAGGGGAGAAGGAAAAGAUGCAUGUUAAAAUCACACAAAAGCAAAGGAACAAAAUGUGAGCGCUGCCAAUGCUCAUAACACAACUCACCUUACCCAUGGAUCACCAGGAGGCUAGGAAAAGUAAUCUAAUACCUAGGCCAACUUUCAGACUCCUUGGGUAAUUUGAGCCAGGCCAGUCACCUCAGCAUCUGCCAGACUUUCACAAACAAUACGAUUACAAGCAAUAAAUACAUCAAUGUUAGGGUUAAUAAGAUCACAACUGGGUGAAGCACAGAAUUAAAAACUCCUCUUGCUGUUGGUGACCAUCUAAGGAGUGUUUCCCUACAGGGGUGUUCUCCAUCCUGCUUUACCCUUUCCAGGACAUAGUGCUUCUCUUCUGUAUCAUGGUUAACAGUAAUCA
RNAcentral lists this long non-coding RNA (2255 nucleotides) under Gallus gallus (chicken). Lineage: Eukaryota; Metazoa; Chordata; Aves; Galliformes; Phasianidae. The record is from RNAcentral.